This 110-nucleotide non-coding RNA is filed under the name Vibrio sp. RNAcentral's name for it is "c-di-GMP sequence". It matches the Rfam family "c-di-GMP-I riboswitch aptamer". From Rfam's summary of the family: GEMM was predicted in a large-scale screen for bacterial structured RNA regulatory elements. The record is from RNAcentral. Lineage: Bacteria; Pseudomonadati; Pseudomonadota; Gammaproteobacteria; Vibrionales; Vibrionaceae.
CCACGCACAGGGCAAACCAUUUGAAAAGAUGGGACGCAAAGCUUCCGGCCUUAACCAGUAUUUUAUUCAUAACUAUGAUAUUAUUCAGGAAAGGUAGCGGGGUUGCCGAU